RNAcentral lists this ribosomal RNA (448 nucleotides) under uncultured bacterium. RNAcentral describes it as "bacterial SSU rRNA". It matches the Rfam family "Bacterial small subunit ribosomal RNA", at positions 355 to 825 of the family's 1533-position model. The record is from RNAcentral.
UGGGGAAUAUUGGACAAUGGGCGCAAGCCUGAUCCAGCCAUGCCGCGUGAGUGAAGAAGGCCUUAGGGUUGUAAAAACUCUUUCGCCGGGGAAGAUAAUGACGGUACCCGGAGAAGAAGCUCCGGCUAACUUCGUGCCAGCAGCCGCGGUAAUACGAAGGGAGCUAGCGUUGUUCGGAAUUACUGGGCGUAAAGCGCACGUAGGCGGACUUGUCAGUCAGGGGUGAAAUCCCAAGGCUCAACCUUGGAACUGCCUCCGAUACAGCAAGCCUAGAGAUCGGGAGAGGUGAGUGGAAUUCCUAGUGUAGAGGUGAAAUUCGUAGAUAUUAGGAAGAACACCAGUGGCGAAGGCGGCUCACUGGCCCGAUACUGACGCUGAGGUGCGAAAGCGUGGGGAGCAAACAGGAUUAGAUACCCACGUAGUCCCUGAGCGGGCUGGCAAGGCGCAU